This 237-nucleotide ribosomal RNA is filed under the name uncultured bacterium. RNAcentral describes it as "partial 16S ribosomal RNA". It matches the Rfam family "Bacterial small subunit ribosomal RNA", at positions 99 to 334 of the family's 1533-position model. The record is from RNAcentral.
CGAACGGGUGAGUAACGCGUGAGGAACCUGCCUCAAAGAGGGGGACAACAGUUGGAAACGACUGCUAAUACCGCAUAAGCCCACAGGUCGGCAUCGACCAGAGGGAAAAGGAGCAAUCCGCUUUGAGGUGGCCUCGCGUCCGAUUAGCUAGUUGGUGAGGUAACGGCCCACCAAGGCAACGAUCGGUAGCCGGACUGAGAGGUUGAACGGCCACAUUGGGACUGAGACACGGCCCAG